CUCUACUGUAUAUUUCUAAAAUCAAAUUGUUCAUCACAACUUAAAUUAAGUCCAACAAUGAAUAGGAACAAUGUUCAGAAAGUACAUUCAUUGAAGGUUCUAUGGCCACAGCAAUGCAAACAGUAUGGUUUCUUACGUACUGUCGAGUGCGUAGAGUGGAGUGCAACAUAAAUUGUGGAAAACCACGUCCUACAUUGCAGCUUCCAAAUGACGGCCGUCUAUAAAAUUCUUGUUGUUCUUCAUCUGGAGCCAUUAAUUUUUCGAAAUUACGUACUUGUGAUUCGUUGUAUAAGCCCAUCACGUUGUAUAAGCCCACCGUGUAUAAGCCCACCGCAUGUACUAACACUCACCUCAUUCCAAAUAUAAGCCCCCCCCCCCCCGAAUAUAAGCCCACCCGAAUAUAAGUCGCCCAAUUAAUAUAAGCCCAGUAAUCGCUGCUUAAUACAUGUUUAUUUCCCUGUUUAUGACUGACUUGUUUAUGUCUGACUUGUUU
Non-coding RNA from Paramuricea clavata, 493 nucleotides. Lineage: Eukaryota; Metazoa; Cnidaria; Anthozoa; Malacalcyonacea; Plexauridae. The record is from the annotation of a GenBank genome assembly.